GUUCGGUGAGUGGAGAACGGGAGAGAGAGGAGAAAAGAAAGCAAAUUUCAGAGGGUGGAAGGACAUGCAGCUGGACCAGGUACCUCCAGAUGUGAAGCCCUAUUUCAGCUGUGCUCAGAGCACCAAGGAGAACCCUGCCACCACCUGCUGGGAACGGAAACUGAGCAACCCAGAGCUGAGCAAAGCUGUCCAUAUGGUCCUUUGCAAGGUGCCGGCAGUAUCCCAGAAAAUACCACAGAAGAUCUAUAUUAAUCUCUAGGAUCAUUCUAAGUUUGUUUCUCCUUCAGCUCUGUGGACUCCGUCUCGUCUUGUCUUGCAGGGUAUUUCUACUUGAACGCCAAUGAAGGCUGUCUUUUACAUGCUCUGUACGCCUUCUGUGACUUCACACCUGCGUCUCUCCAGUCACGUCCUGGGUAACUACAGCACAGCAAUGCACAGUGUGCAAAAGGACAUUUUAAAGUGACUUAUUAUUCCCCACUGGGGAUCAGUACCUGUUGCUCCAGAAGGUGUCACUGCAGCACAGACUAGCAGUAGCUGAUGUGGUGGUUUAUUUUUGGAAAGUUUGUGACAAGUUUAUAAUAGCAGUGCAAGUCCAGUUUGAUAAUAAUGUUAUGCAUUCCAAAGCACAGUGCCACCAAAAACGAUUUAGACUGCAAUUUUGUUAAAAAAUAAAUUCCCAGUAAAGUACCUCAUUUUAAAUUCUACUGUAUUUGAAUAUUGAAAUUUGUAUAAAUUCUAUAUAAUUUACACAUUACUUGGAUAAAUUAUUGUAAUUAAAUAUUCUGAUGUAUGGCAGACCACUUGAGUAUUUAAACACAUUUUUGUCAAUUGAAUAAUUAGUCCAGCCAAAGGGAAGUUUCAGAGUGUACUGGCCAGUAAAAAAUAAGCAUGACAGUAAGAUGCAGAAACAUUUGGAAGACAGCAUGAGGGAGGGACCAUACUGCAUACUAUAGAAACUAA
Acipenser ruthenus (sterlet) is the source of this 960-nucleotide long non-coding RNA. RefSeq lists it as uncharacterized. Lineage: Eukaryota; Metazoa; Chordata; Actinopteri; Acipenseriformes; Acipenseridae. The transcript is spliced from 3 exons. The record is from RefSeq and is a predicted model, not a curated record.